AACCUUAUUUAAGGACCCCUCUCAUUCUCCUCUCUUCAACUCCUCCUCUUCUUUCUCUCCCUCUAUUUCUCAUUCUUCUUACAUUAUUAAUAUCAAACAAUGGAAGGAAAACUUAGAUUGACAGAGGCAAUGAGGAGGAGACGGAGACAACAUAAGACCUCGAGGCUGAGGAGGAGAUCUCUCGGCGUCAAUUCGGUCCACCGGAAGGUGAAAGAGCUCAAGAGGUUGGUCCCCGGAGGAAGAGGUUUGUGCUCUGAGCAACUUUUCACGAGGACCGCAAACUACAUCUCUGAGUUGAGGAUGCAACUCCAAAUGUUGAGAGCUCUCUCUGAUUUAUAUUUCCCAUGAGAUUUUACGAUAUGCAGAUCAUAUGAUGGGGAUAUAUUGACUGUUGUGAUGCUGUCUUAUAAACUCAAGUUAAAUAGCUAUGAACUGACGGCCUUUCUACAAAA
This is a long non-coding RNA of Asparagus officinalis (garden asparagus), 452 nucleotides long. RefSeq lists it as uncharacterized. The record is from RefSeq and is a predicted model, not a curated record. The transcript has 2 exons. NCBI's taxonomy places the organism in Eukaryota, Viridiplantae, Streptophyta, Magnoliopsida, Asparagales, Asparagaceae.